AGACAAAAUGACGGAUAAACGUAAUAAAUUUAGAAUUUAUAAAUGAUAAAUUAUCCAAAUUAUAUCUAU
RNAcentral lists this transfer RNA (69 nucleotides) under Mesabolivar sp. ITV1036I1. Its description in RNAcentral is "tRNA-Leu". Lineage: Eukaryota; Metazoa; Arthropoda; Arachnida; Araneae; Pholcidae. The record is from RNAcentral. RNAcentral also lists the same sequence under 1 other name.